This is a long non-coding RNA of Hyla sarda, 226 nucleotides long. RefSeq lists it as uncharacterized. The transcript has 3 exons. Lineage: Eukaryota; Metazoa; Chordata; Amphibia; Anura; Hylidae. The record is from RefSeq and is a predicted model, not a curated record.
CUCAUAGUGUGAAAGCAGCCUUAAACAGCACCAAUCUAAGCAAGUUAAAGGCAGCAGUAUAACGUAGCGACUGAGCAGUAUGUUCGGAUACAGCUGAAGAAAGAAAUGUCUACACAGGAAACAAAGAAACAAGAAUUCCAGAGAUCCUGGGGAUGAGCAAGGGACAGGAAGCAAUGGAUACGCGCCAUUCAUUUCCAGGAGGAACUAAACAAACCAUGAAAUCCAG